Ailuropoda melanoleuca (giant panda) is the source of this 1563-nucleotide long non-coding RNA. RefSeq lists it as uncharacterized. The record is from RefSeq and is a predicted model, not a curated record. The transcript is spliced from 3 exons. Lineage: Eukaryota; Metazoa; Chordata; Mammalia; Carnivora; Ursidae.
CAGUGAUGCCAUGAGAUUGCUGCGUGUCUUACUGGACGGUUUGCUGCUCUAGAUAAGUGGGCGGAGAAGCCAGCCUUUGGGACGCCUUUGGAAGUACACCUAAAGCGGUGCGGCCGUGAGAUCGCCCUGCCCAUGGAAGCCUGCGUCAUGCUGCUCCUGGAGAUGGGCAUGAAGGAGGAGGGCCUUUUCCGAAUUGGGGCUGGGGCCUCCAAGUUAAAGAAACUGAAAGCCGCUUUAGACUGUUCUACUUCCCACCUGGGUGCUUUAAAUUCCUAUUUACGGGAACUGCCUGAACCUUUGAUGACUUUUAAUCUGUAUGAAGAAUGGACACAAGUUGCAAGGUAAGUUUAAAGAACACCGAGUUUUCAAAGUUAAAGGAAAUGAUGGGAUAUUAUGUCCCCUUUGUGAGUCAUCUUACUCUCAGGGAUCAUAAAAUAACAUUAAAAUAGCACAUGUGUUAAAUAGUAUGUGCCUCAGGUCUUACGUGUUGGGCGAAAAUAUUGAGUAUUAUUAUUAGGAUGGGAGAGUCAGCACUUCAAUUCGAGUGAUGUAUAUGGAUGAAGACAUAGAGUGCGACCCACAUUAAUAGAGCAGCUGGUCACAAGCUCCUUUUAGAUGGAAAAAAGCCCUGUCACGGGGACAGGUAUCAUACUGGCCAAUGGCGAUGUGCCUGGCGAGCCGUGGGGAAAUUCAGCCAUGCAGUAAUACAGUGUUGACAGUACUAGUAAUGACAGUUAAUGCUUACUUGUGCUCAGUACAUACUAAUCUUGAUACCCAUUACCUCCUGUCAUCCAUGACCAAUGACAUAAAAGAUAGAUGUGGUUAGCCUCAUUUUCCAGACAUGGAAACUGAGGCUGGGGGAGGCAUGGGGCCCAAGGAACAGCAAGUCAUGGGCAGAGCGGGAACUCAGGCCCAGACCCAUCUGCGCCCAAGACUGUGUCCCUGUUCUUUGCUCCUUCACCCCCACCCCCAGUUUCCGUGUACCAGGAGCUAUUGGCAGCCUUGUCCAAAAAGUCCCAGAGGCUUCUCUCUGGCCAGCCAGACUGCCUCCUUGUUAGCUUGUGCCUCACGGUUCUGACUCACCUCCUCCCGCAGGUGCCUAAUUCCUCAGCCCUAAGGGAGGGGGAACAGAUCUCCCGUCCCCUCCUCCCCUUCCCCUGUCUUUCGCCACUGUCACCCGUUCCCAGCAGAUGGGCCGCCAGGUCUGACCAGUUAGGCUUCUGUGGCAGGUGCCUCUACCCCCGUCAAUAAGGUUUUUAAAGUCAGAGUAAGGGACGCCUGGGUGGCUCAGUCAGUUAAGUGUCUGCCUUUAGCUCGGGUUGUGAUCCUGGGGUUCUGAGAUCGAGUCCUGCAUCAGGCUCCCUGCUCAGGGGGGGAGCCUGCUUCUCCCUCUGCCUGCUGCUCCCCCUGCUUGUGCUCUCAUUCUCUCUCUCUCUCUGACAAAUAAAUAAAUAAAAUCUUUUUUUAAAAGUCAGUAAGUUCGUAGUCACGGUCAUAUCCUUGGAAACUGCAUGUGGCCCAGCCUGUUUUAAAAGUCUGUUUGUGGGGCUGAAUAAAGGGAAC